Molecule: ribosomal RNA, 438 nt
Filed under: uncultured soil bacterium
Lineage: Bacteria
Description: bacterial SSU rRNA
Rfam family: Bacterial small subunit ribosomal RNA
Source: RNAcentral
AGGACGAACGCUGGCGGCGCGCCUAACACAUGCAAGUCGAGGGAGAAGCACCCUUCGGGGUGUGGAGACCGGCGAACGGGUGAGUAACACGUGAGGAAUCUGCCCUGUAGACCGGAAUAACCACGGGAAACUGUGGCUAAUGCCGGAUAUUCUUUUCGCUCCGCAUGGAGCAUUGAGGAAAUGGUCAGCCGCUACAGGAUGACCUCGCGGCCUAUCAGCUUGUGGUGGGUAACGGCCCACCAAGGCUACGACGGUAGCUGGCGUGAGAGCGCGAACAGCCACACUGGGACUGAGACACGGCCCAGACUCCUACGGGAGGCAGCAGUGGGAAUCUUGCUCAAUGGGCGAAAGCCUAGAAGCAGCGACGCCGCGUGGCGGGAAGAAGGCCGUUCGGUGUAAACCGCGUUUGAGGAGGAAGAGCGCAAGUGACGUACCUAC